UACGUAGGGGGCUAGCGUUGUCCGGAAUCAUUGGGCGUAAAGAGCGUGUAGGCGGUCCGGUAAGUCCGCUGUGAAAGUCGGGGGCUCAACCCUCGAAUGCCGGUGGAUACUGUCGGGCUAGAGUGCGGAAGAGGCGAGUGGAAUUCAUGGUGUAGCAGUGAAAUGCGUAGAGAUCAUGAGGAAGACCAGUGGCGAAGGCGGGUCUCUGGACAGUUCCUGACACUGAGGCACGAAGGCCAGGGGAGCAAACGGG
Molecule: ribosomal RNA, 253 nt
Filed under: uncultured bacterium
Lineage: Bacteria
Description: partial 16S ribosomal RNA
Rfam family: Bacterial small subunit ribosomal RNA
Source: RNAcentral